AAAGGGGUUUUGCAUAUCAAUAAGCGGAGGAAAAGAAACUAACAAGGAUUCCCCUAGUAACUGCGAGUGAAGCGGGAAAAGCUCAAAUUUAAAAUCUGGCGGCUUUGGUCGUCCGAGUUGUAUCCUAGAGAAGUGUUUUCCGCGUUGGACCGUGUAUAAGUCUCUUGGAACAGAGCGUCAUAGAGGGUGAGAAUCCCGUCUUUGACACGGACUACCAAUGCUUUGUGAUACACUCUCAAAGAGUCGAGUUGUUUGGGAAUGCAGCUCAAAAUGGGUGGUAAAUUCCAUCUAAAGCUAAAUAUUGGCGAGAGACCGAUAGCGAACAAGUACCGUGAGGGAAAGAUGAAAAGCACUUUGGAAAGAGAGUUAAACAGUACGUGAAAUUGCUGAAAGGGAAACGAUUGAAGUCAGUCGCGUUAGCUAGAACUCAACCAGGCUUGCUUGGCGUAUUUUCUAGUUAACGGGCCAGCAUCAGUUUUGACCGCAGGAAAAAGGCCAGGGAAAUGUGGCACCUUCGGGUGUGUUAUAGUCUUUGGUCAUAUACUGCGAUUGGGACUGAGGUUCGCAGCACGCGCAAGCUGUGCUUAGGAUGCUGGCGUAAGGGUUUUAACCGACCCGUCUUGAAACCACGGACCAAAGGGGCUC
Molecule: ribosomal RNA, 645 nt
Filed under: Flavodon sp. x10
Lineage: Eukaryota; Fungi; Basidiomycota; Agaricomycetes; Polyporales; Irpicaceae
Description: partial large subunit ribosomal RNA
Rfam family: Eukaryotic large subunit ribosomal RNA
Source: RNAcentral